GUGACAGUGGUUCAGUGGGAAGAAUAUUCGUCUUGUAAUCUGAAAGUUGUGGGUUCAGUUACAGUUUUCCUCCUGCUACA
This is a non-coding RNA of Crenichthys baileyi (White River springfish), 80 nucleotides long. Lineage: Eukaryota; Metazoa; Chordata; Actinopteri; Cyprinodontiformes; Goodeidae. The record is from the annotation of a GenBank genome assembly.